Molecule: non-coding RNA, 717 nt
Organism: Delphinapterus leucas (beluga whale)
Lineage: Eukaryota; Metazoa; Chordata; Mammalia; Artiodactyla; Monodontidae
Source: RefSeq, a predicted model, not a curated record
CGCGUGUGGGCAUCCCAGGUCUCUGGGGACAGGGGGCCCGCGUGCGCUGGUGGGCACGGGUCGGGGAAGCUGGACCCUCCCCGGAGGGCUUCCUCCCAGCUCCCUCCUGGCCCCUUUCCAGGCUUUUAAAUCAGACCAAAACAGGAAACUAACCACAGGGACUGGAGGAGCCACAAGGGACGGGACGGAUGCUGCCAUCCAGACCGCAGGGGCGACUGCUCGGAGCUGGGAAGAAAGGACCUCACGCGGGGACCAUCGAGGAAAGGAAUGAAGGGUGUUUCGACAGCCACUGGCUCUCUGAAGCCAUCCCCUCGCUCCCGACAGACCAGGAAUCUGACUCCACAGCUCCUCCCUUCCCAUCUUCCCUCUUUAUAACUGAUGUCCCUUGUAUCCCACCUAUGUCCCCUCUGCAGUUACUGUUCCCAUAAACACAGACACAGCCGCUCUGCAGGCACCUGUGACUCUCAGUCUGCGUGAACACCAGGAUGCAAUGCCCCUGGGAGCCGCCCUCAGCCAGUAACGACUGGGCGUCGAAAGAUAAAUAUCCAGGCUUCCUGGCCCUCUGGGUGGGCAUGUAAUCCCCCAGAACCCCCAAGCCCAGCUGACCUCAACAGUGACCCGCACAGAACGCAUCCUGCACUGGCUUCCUUCUCUCCCCGACCCACUUCCCCACCCCCAUCAGUGCUUUCUGGAAUCACCUCCCAAAUAAACCACUUG